GACGAACGCUGGCGGCGUGCUUAACACAUGCAAGUCGAACGGAAAGGCCCCCACCUUGGUGGGGGUGCUCGAGUGGCGAACGGGUGAGUAACACGUGGGUGAUCUGCCCUGUACUUCGGGAUAAGCUUGGGAAACUGGGUCUAAUACCGUAUAGGACCAUGGUUUAGUGUCUCAUGGUGGAAAAAUUAUUGUUUUGGUGCAGGAUGAGCUCGCGGCCUAUCAGCUUGUUGGUGGGGUAAUGGCCUACCAAGGCGUCGACGGGUAGCCGGCCUGAGAGGGUGGACGGCCACAUUGGGACUGAGAUACGGCCCAGACUCCUACGGGAGGCAGCAGUGGGGAAUAUGGCACAAUGGGCGCAAGCCUGAUGCAGCGACGCCGCGUGGGGGAUGACGGCCUUCGGGUUGUAAACUCCUUUCGUUAGGGACGAAGCCACACCUUUUUUGGGUGUGGUGACGGUACCUUUGUUAAGAAGCACCGGCUAACUACGUG
This 489-nucleotide ribosomal RNA is filed under the name uncultured bacterium. Its description in RNAcentral is "partial 16S ribosomal RNA". It matches the Rfam family "Bacterial small subunit ribosomal RNA", at positions 28 to 507 of the family's 1533-position model. The record is from RNAcentral.